This 603-nucleotide long non-coding RNA is filed under the name Nicotiana tabacum (common tobacco). RNAcentral describes it as "long non-coding RNA (NTAB_LNC002754)". The record is from RNAcentral. Lineage: Eukaryota; Viridiplantae; Streptophyta; Magnoliopsida; Solanales; Solanaceae.
UUAUACAGGUGGGCGCCUAAUUGGUAAAGACAUGAAAUGUAUUCCCUUGUUAUACAGGUGGGCACCUAAUUGGUAAAGACAUGAAAUGUAUUCCCUUGUUAUACAGGUGGGCGCCUAAUGGUAAAGACAUGAAAAGUAUUCCCUUGUUAUACAGGUGGGCGUCUAAUGGUAAACACAUGAAAAGUAUUCCAUUGUUAUACAGGUGGGCGCCUAAUUGGUAAAGACAUGAAAUGUAUUCCCUUGUUAUACAGGUGAGCGCCUAAUUGGUAAAGACAUGAAAUGUAUUCCCUUGUUAUACAGGUGGGCGCCUAAUGAUAAAGACAUGAAAAGUAUUCCCUUGUUAUACAGGUGGGCGCCUAAUGGUAAAGACAUGAAAAGUAUUCCUCAUGUUAUACAUGUGGGCGCCUAUUUAUCUAAAAACAUGAAAGUAUUCCUCUUGUUAUACAGGUGUGCGCCUAUUUAUCUAAAAACAUGAAAAGUAUUCCUCUUGUUAUACAGGUGGGUGCCUAUUUAUCUAAAAACAUGAAAGUAUUCCUCUUGUUAUACAGGUGGGCGCCUGUUUAUCUAAAAACAUGAAAGUAUUCCUCUUGUUAUACAGGUGGG